RNAcentral lists this ribosomal RNA (468 nucleotides) under uncultured bacterium. Its description in RNAcentral is "partial 16S ribosomal RNA". It matches the Rfam family "Bacterial small subunit ribosomal RNA", at positions 28 to 507 of the family's 1533-position model. The record is from RNAcentral.
GACGAACGCUGGCGGCGUGCUUAACACAUGCAAGUCGAACGGAAAGGCCCUGCUUUUGUGGGGUGCUCGAGUGGCGAACGGGUGAGUAACACGUGAGUAACCUGCCCUUGACUUUGGGAUAACUUCAGGAAACUGGGGCUAAUACCGGAUAGGAGCUCCUGCUGCAUGGUGGGGGUUGGAAAGUUUCGGCGGUUGGGGAUGGACUCGCGGCUUAUCAGCUUGUUGGUGGGGUAGUGGCUUACCAAGGCUUUGACGGGUAGCCGGCCUGAGAGGGUGACCGGCCACAUUGGGACUGGGAUACGGCCCGGACUCCUACGGGAGGCAGCAGUAGGGAAUAUUGCACAAUGGGCGGAAGCCUGAUGCAGCAACGCCGCGUGCGGGAUGACGGCCUUCGGGUUGUAAACCGCUUUCGCCUGUGACGAAGCGUGAGUGACGGUAAUGGGUAAAGAAGCACCGGCUAACUACGUG